CCAGAGCCCUGUGGUGUUUGGGUACAUACAGGGUGCUCUGGGAGUAGAGGUUAUUGUUGUGCCCAAGAUUGCGAAUCUGAGAAACCACCAAGGAGCCAACACCGAUGCAAGCUCACGAGGGUUUAUUUACAAGCUCGAGCUUGCGUCCAAGUGUACCCGACACAGCGGAGCAGGGACUUGGGCCCCCGAGUUUUGGAGGAUAGAAGACUGAGAUCAAGGUGACAGCAGUGUCGGUUUCUGGUUUAAUUUAUUUAUUCAUGAAAGACACAGAUAGACAAAGAGACAUAGGCAGAGGAAGAAGCAGGCUCCCUGCAGGGAGCCUGAUGUGGGACUCAAUCUCAGGACCCCAGGAUCACAACCUGAGCCAAAGGCAGAUGCUCAACCACUGAGCCACCCAGAGGAAGCACUUCUUCACUUUAAACCGACCACUUACAAAAGUAGCAGGUGAAGGUUUCUCUGUGGACUGGGGUAAGUCGGUAAUUAAAUUUUCUUGAAUCAGUAGAGAAAUUAUAAAAAAUAAAAUCAAUGUUGUGAGUUUUUCAUAAAGGUAAACUCAUUCUAUUAAAGAACUUGCCUUUUUUAUUCUAAGAUUAUGUCCUAUUUAGUUAUGUGGUUUUAAAUUUCCCUACUAUUAGAUGAUGGUGAUAAUAGGACGUAGUUAGGUUUUUGUUUUUAAAAUAUACUUAUUUGGCAAAAGAAGAGUUGUUACCAUAUGUUGGUCAUCUUUAAGAAAAAAACAAAAUCCACUGGUAUAUAUAUAUAUAUAUAUAUAUAUAUAUAUAUAUAUAUUACACAUAUCCACCACAGCUUUUAAACAGCUGUGGUGCCUGUGAAACUUUUGAAAUAAAUUUACAAUUAUUAUUAAAUAACUGUUGCUCUAUAUGCUCCCUUCUACCCACUUUGGCCAUUCAAUCUCCUUUCUUGGGACCCCAGACUUUCUCACAAGUAAUUAUCUAAAGGUUAAUGCCUGUCACAGUUGGGGUCAUCAGUAUACUAUUUGUUCAUAAUUUACCAGUUGUUAAAUAUUUAAGCAGAACCCAUGGUAAAAUCCAAAUGCCUACGAACGAUUGGUAUAAGAGGAGUAUUUCUAUCUGAUUCCUUUAAGAAAAACAAAAAAGCCAUGGAAUCCCUUAAAAACUGUGUUUGAGACAAUCUGGCAACUCCUAGUUUGAUAAAUGUAAGGAUAGAGUUGUUUUUCUUCCUUCAUAGAGAGUGCAAUAUAAAAAUCUCCAUAAUUAGAAACACAGUGCUUUAUGCUUCCUAGGCAUCAAUAGUUACAGGAUGAGAAAGAGUGGAUAGAUCUUAGAAGCUUUGCAGGAGAGAUGGAGAGAGAGAUGUAUCCCUUGCAUCUCUUUUCUCUUUCUUCUCAAAAUUCUUCCUUCAAGUAAGGGGAAUAGGAUCUAUGAAACUAGGAAAAACAAAAUAGUGACUAAAAAAACCAAAAUGCAGCUUUGACAAACCACAAGCUUUAAAGCAAAAGGAUGAGGACAAUAUCUGAAAAGACUUUAAACAUUAAGCAAAGUAAGGGAAAUUUAAAAUCUUGUUUUGAAUGUAUUAGAUCACAUUAAACAAAUUAUUUUUAAAAACCCUCUCUUUCUUUGUUCUUAAACACUUGUCUUUUAAGCGACAGAUAGGAGGACCAGAAUAAGUGGUUAACUUGGAUUGACCUUCUGAACAGCUGCCCCAUUAAACUUCAGAGACAGCACAUCCCCAUUGCUGCAAUCAAGUGACUACAGCUGGUACUGUCCUUACAAAUUUAAGCUGCAGAAGCACUUUAAAGAGGCGAAUAACCCUCUUUGGGGUCUGAAUCGCCAAAAUGUGUGAUGCUUUUACAUGAAUAAUAUUGUCAUUUGAAAUAUAAACUUUAUUUCUUUGCACUUUGAAACAAAGUGAAGCUAGUUAUCUUGAUUUUGCUUCUCUUAUUUCUUGAAACUCUGCCAAUAUAUCAGCAAAAGAAAAGAGAUGCAUUGACAGUUCUGUAUUAUAAAAUGCAUAAGUAAAACAUUUUGAUGCCACAGAAGUUUAAAUUAUUGACAAUAUGAUUAUAUGAUUAUGGUUUAAGGUUUUUAUAUUAAUUAUAUUCAGAGAGAGGUCUGGGAUAGGGAGGGUUAAUGGGCACCCUGAAACAAGCAGAGAAAAUGCCACUGCAGGUGUUUGCUUUAAUGGGGUGUUGAUGGAACACCAAGGGCAGGUAAGUAGGAAAAUGAAUGAGAGACAGAAAGUGUUGAAGUGUUAGUGUAAAACACAGGUCUGUGACAAUGUGAAGCUUUAAUGCCUAAAAUUAUUUUGGCUUUUCUUGCUUUAGAAUGCUGUUUCACUAACUUUUGUACAAGCUCAAUUACCUUCUUGUAAGGACAGGGCAGUUAGAGUGGAAAUUUCAGAAAAAGGGUUAUUUAAUCACACAUAGGAAGCAACACCUUCCUUAUAUUCAUUUUCACAAAUUUGGCAGGUAAAAUGAGUUAUUUCUCUAGGUUUUCUAUGUCUGCUUUUUAAACUUCAUAUAUUAGAACAUUUAUAACAUAUGCAUAUAUAAUAGUACAGAGACUACUAUAAUAAUGAACUCCUAUUUAUCCAGCUUCAAAAAUUAUCAUCUCCCCCAACUUUUUGGCUCCUCUUCUCCACCCCCAGAUCAUUUGCAGCAAAUCUCAGACAUUAUAUCAUGUUGGUUGUUAAUAUUUCAAUAUACAUUUUGAGAUAAUACUCUUUUGAAAUAUAUCUACAACCCCAUUGACAUACAAAAAAGUGCUAUGUCAUAUCAUAAAUAAAUAAUUUCUUAAUAUAAUAACAUAUCCAGUAACUGUUUAAUAACAUAUCCAGUAACUGUUUAAUAGUUAUCUAAUUUUUAAAAAAUGAUUUGUAUGAUUGAAAUAAUGGACUCUCCAAAACAUCCAUACACUGUAAUUGGUUAAUGUGUCUCUCUGGUCUCAAUCUAUAGGAUUCCUUUUUCUAAUUAAUUUUUUUCUUGUCUCUUUUUUCUUUUUUGGUGGUGGUUUUAGCAACUGAGCUGUUUGUAUAUAGGGUAGAUCUUGUUGAUUACAUCAUUGAGGUGUUGUUUACAUGUUGCUGUGAUCCCUUUAUCUUCUGUAAAUUGUUGGUUAAGUUUGAUAUUUUUAGUAAGACUUCAUAGAUGUUGUCUACUUUCCUAAGAAUUACAAAAUGUGUCUACUUGUUUCUUGUUUGUAUGUGCCAUAUAACAGUCACUGAAGGCCUUUACCUAAAUUUCUAGUGUUUUCAUUCCUUUUUAUCAUCAAAUAUUUGUCUACCCUGAAAUAUAGUUCAUUAAGUCAAGGAAGAAAAAUUGCUUGACUUCAUCUCUCUAGUUACCAGUUUUCCAAAUAACAAAUUGGUUCCAUAGCAUCCUCUAAGGAAGAAAAGUGAUAUUUUAUGUAGAACUCUGACUUAUACAAUUGUUCAACAAAAUUUGUAUUAAUUCAGUGGAGUUUUUCUGAGUGUCUUCUCUGUUUAAGGCAUUUCUUUAGAUGCUGAAUAUACAACAGAGAAGAAAAUAGGCAAAAAAAAAA
RNAcentral lists this long non-coding RNA (3521 nucleotides) under Canis lupus familiaris (dog). RNAcentral describes it as "lncRNA (ENSCAFG00000055361.1)". The record is from RNAcentral. Lineage: Eukaryota; Metazoa; Chordata; Mammalia; Carnivora; Canidae.